This 75-nucleotide transfer RNA is filed under the name Cordylochernes scorpioides. RNAcentral's name for it is "tRNA-Thr". It matches the Rfam family "tRNA". Rfam says of the family: Transfer RNA (tRNA) molecules are approximately 80 nucleotides in length. Their secondary structure includes four short double-helical elements and three loops (D, anti-codon, and T loops). Lineage: Eukaryota; Metazoa; Arthropoda; Arachnida; Pseudoscorpiones; Chernetidae. The record is from RNAcentral.
GUCCAAGGUAGCCUAGUGGAUAUGACAUCUGCCCGGUAAGCGGAACAUUGUAGGUUCGAUUCCCAUCCCUGGACA